Molecule: ribosomal RNA, 490 nt
Filed under: uncultured bacterium
Lineage: Bacteria
Description: partial 16S ribosomal RNA
Rfam family: Bacterial small subunit ribosomal RNA
Source: RNAcentral
UAUGAACGCUAGCGGCAGGCCUAAUACAUGCAAGUCGAACGGGAUCCAGAUCAAAGCUUGCUUUGGUUUGGUGAGAGUGGCGCACGGGUGCGUAACGCGUGAGCAACCUACCCUUGUCAGGGGGAUAGCCCGGCGAAAGUCGGAUUAAUACCGCAUGACAUCAUUGAGAGGCAUCUUUCGAUGAUCAAAGAUUUAUCGGACAAGGAUGGGCUCGCGUGACAUUAGCUAGUUGGUAAGGUAACGGCUUACCAAGGCUACGAUGUCUAGGGGCUCUGAGAGGAGAAUCCCCCACACUGGUACUGAGACACGGACCAGACUCCUACGGGAGGCAGCAGUAAGGAAUAUUGGUCAAUGGACGGAAGUCUGAACCAGCCAUGCCGCGUGCAGGAAGACGGCCCUAUGGGUUGUAAACUGCUUUUAUACGGGAACAAACGUCGGUACGUGUACCGGUCUGAGUGUACCGUAAGAAUAAGGAUCGGCUAACUCCGUG